RNAcentral lists this long non-coding RNA (837 nucleotides) under Triticum aestivum (bread wheat). RNAcentral describes it as "long non-coding RNA (TAES_LNC013683)". Lineage: Eukaryota; Viridiplantae; Streptophyta; Magnoliopsida; Poales; Poaceae. The record is from RNAcentral.
AAACUGUGCGAACAGCCAAGAAAAUCCAUAUUUAACAGAUAAACUUAUGCUCAGAAAUAAGAUAUAUAGGUUACUUCUAUCACCAAUUAAACAGCCAAAACUAGAGGGGGAAAACGAUCGAGUGCACAGAUUAAAGCAAACUGGACACAAAUCCAUGCUGUUCACAUUCAGAAAUGGUAGCGACGACAUAAAAGUUGACAAAAGUUAAAGACAACGGUUCAUCAGACUCAUAAAUGACAACGGUUCAUUGACAGUCAACUAGGGAAAGGGUCGACUACAACUCAAGAUGCGGCUUUUUUGCAUCUAAGCUUGCACAUAGGCAUAUACUAACCAAAGGUGACAACAGGGUGCUUCCCAAUCUCCCAUAGUCUUAUUCCUGAAACACGCAACAAAAAGUUCAGGAUAAUGAAAAGAUUAUCAACCUCAGACCGAACAUCCAAAUUGCGAAGGCUUACCCUUUGUCCUGAUAUACAGGGGUUUGAAUCCCUCAGAAAAUUUCGCCACAGAUGGGCAUGUCAUCGAAGCUCCAAAGGUCCAUGUUGCCAACGACAUCCUGAGGCACAUCAAAAUUCAGAAGGCUAUCUAUCGGCUCAUCCACGCCAUCAUCAACAAGAAACCUCAUCCAAGGCUCAAAAUCGACAGCAUUGUUCUCCAUAACAGGAGGCACCACUGAGUUGUAGGUGUUGCUCUGGACAAGCGCAGAUUCAGCUCCUUCGGCAAUCACUGCUGGGUUGUAGGUGUUACUCUGGAGAAGUGCAGACUCUGUUCCUUCAGCAAUGGUGGAAAUGGGAGCAAUGGAUGAUAUAUCUGGAGUCUUGGUGUCAUACUCCCAGCCCA